RNAcentral lists this long non-coding RNA (674 nucleotides) under Homo sapiens (human). Its description in RNAcentral is "non-protein coding lnc-SGTB-2:3". Lineage: Eukaryota; Metazoa; Chordata; Mammalia; Primates; Hominidae. The record is from RNAcentral.
AACCCGGCGGUUCUCGCGCGGCUGCGGCCUCCAGCUCCCGGGUCCCUGGGGCUGUUGCUGCUCGUUUCACCGCCUGGAUUUUUAUCGGUGUUUUUGUUUUCCCCAAAAGUCGAUGAGAGUCUUGUGCUCAUGUCUACCCGGUUCCUUCCGGUCUCGGAUUGGGAAACCAAGCGGCCUGGCCUACUGGUGCGGGACUGUAAAGAAGGAAUGACUCUUGGACAACACGGAAGAACACUUGACCAAACUAUAGGGCAGCCUUAUCACAUACAGGCAGCACCCCAACUCCAACUAUUUUUAAAAGUUGGCAGGCGUCCUAAUUGUGAAAAAAACAAAAUUUUACAAAAUGCGUAGGUUCAGGUUGAAUUAAGGAAAGAGGCAGUAAGAUGAAGGCUGUGCAGGGGUUGUUUAUAACCUGUUUUUAAUUCCCUCGUUCCACAGGUGUUGAUGUUUAUUGAGUGCUAUGUCCCAGGCACUAUUAGGCAAGGGCACGUAACAGACAGUUAAAGACAGUUCACAUAGAACUUGCAACCUAAUGAGAGACAACAGUAGUGAGUCCAUGGCAGCUGCUCCCAAAAUGCCCUCCGCAGAUCCCUAAGGGUACCGAGACCUUUUCAGUAAGUUGGCAAGGUCAAAACGAUUUUCGUAAUAAUAUUAAGAGUUUCUUGACCUUUUUC